UACGUAGGGACCGAGCGUUGUCCGGAAUUAUUGGGCGUAAAGGGCUCGUAGGCGGUUUGUCGCGUCGGGAGUGAAAACCCAGGGCUUAACCCUGGGCUGGCUUUCGAUACGGGCAGACUAGAGGUAUGCAGGGGAGAACGGAAUUCCUGGUGUAGCGGUGAAAUGCGCAGAUAUCAGGAGGAACACCGGUGGCGAAGGCGGUUCUCUGGGCAUUACCUGACGCUGAGGAGCGAAAGUGUGGGGAGCGAACAGG
Molecule: ribosomal RNA, 253 nt
Filed under: uncultured bacterium
Lineage: Bacteria
Description: partial 16S ribosomal RNA
Rfam family: Bacterial small subunit ribosomal RNA
Source: RNAcentral